Molecule: transfer RNA, 65 nt
Filed under: Meteorus pulchricornis
Lineage: Eukaryota; Metazoa; Arthropoda; Insecta; Hymenoptera; Braconidae
Description: tRNA-Asp
Source: RNAcentral
UAAAAAUUAGUUAAAAUAUAAUAUUAAAUUGUCAAUUUAAAGUUAUUUAAAAUAAAUAUUUUUAA